This 492-nucleotide ribosomal RNA is filed under the name uncultured bacterium. Its description in RNAcentral is "partial 16S ribosomal RNA". It matches the Rfam family "Bacterial small subunit ribosomal RNA", at positions 29 to 507 of the family's 1533-position model. The record is from RNAcentral.
AGUGAACGCUGGCGGUAGGCCUAACACAUGCAAGUCGAACGGCAGCACAGUAAGAGCUUGCUCUUACGGGUGGCGAGUGGCGGACGGGUGAGGAAUACAUCGGAAUCUACUUUUUCGUGGGGGAUAACGUAGGGAAACUUACGCUAAUACCGCAUACGACCUACGGGUGAAAGCAGGGGAUCUUCGGACCUUGCGCGAUUGAAUGAGCCGAUGUCGGAUUAGCUAGUUGGCGGGGUAAAGGCCCACCAAGGCGACGAUCCGUAGCUGGUCUGAGAGGAUGAUCAGCCACACUGGAACUGAGACACGGUCCAGACUCCUACGGGAGGCAGCAGUGGGGAAUGCUGGACAAUGGGCGCAAGCCUGAUCCAGCCAUACCGCGUGGGUGAAGAAGGCCUUCGGGUUGUAAAGCCCUUUUGUUGGGAAAGAAAAGCAGCAGGUUAAUACCCCGCUGUUCUGACGGUACCCAAAGAAUAAGCACCGGCUAACUUCGUG